Molecule: RNA transcript, 5573 nt
Organism: Lethenteron reissneri (Far Eastern brook lamprey)
Lineage: Eukaryota; Metazoa; Chordata; Hyperoartia; Petromyzontiformes; Petromyzontidae
Gene name: tumor necrosis factor receptor superfamily member 6-like
Source: RefSeq, a predicted model, not a curated record
CUUAGAUGUGCAGUUCACGUGAGGGGCUGGCAGUCUUGAAGAACACGCGAUAAUAUUUGCUCUCUAAACUGCUGAAGAGUAGCGCUAGCUCAGGGGUAGAGAUCGGACUCCCGAGUCUCCACAGGAAUAAAGUCCCGGCGUCUCAGACCAACUCGAGCUGUCUCAUAGACGGGAUGGGACAUCAGCUGCCCUUUCUCGUCGUUAUCGGUUUCGUUAUGCUGGGUGUUCGGCGUGCAGAAGGGUCUGAAACUAAACAAUGUCCCAAUGACAGCUACAAAACUAAAGACGACGUGUGCUGCGGUCUCUGCCCUGCAGGAACAUUCAAGGCAGCAGACUGUUUGACUGAUGGAGGAAUCCGUAAAUGUAUUCCUUGUAUUAAAGGGAAAUUUUACACUGACAAGCCAAAUAAUGAAUCUGCCUGCUUCGACUGCACCCCCUGUCCAGAGAGAGAAGAGAUUGCACAAGAAUGUAUGAGAGAAUAUAACUCAGUUUGCCAAUGUAAAGAAGGAUACUACAGAUCGAAUGGACAGUGUGUACACAAUAAUGAAGUUGCAUUUCGUGGGGCAUUAAUUGGAAUGGCGAUAAUCGUCUGCAUCGUCAUCAUCAUCUUUCUCUGGAGGUGGAAAACAACAGCUCGAGCACUCAAAAAUCUUCAACGAGAAAAGAGGGAUAUUCGUAAAGCCAGAGGAGAGAACGGAUCCAAGAGGACGACCUUCAUUGGGAAGGAGUGGUAAAAUCAGCCUGUGUGCAGGACACGAGAGAGAUGACAGUGGCUGCAGGAGGACUUACCCGUAAACAGGAGUGCGUGUGUUCGAUCCCAACCCUGAUGCCUGUAUAUUGGCAGUUUACAUGUUCUACCCGUGGUCGCGUGUAUUUCCUCCGGGUCCUCCAAUUUCUCCCUUCACAUUUAGAAUCAACAUUCGUUUACAGUAUUUGGCUGCUAUAAACGUCUACAUGAUAAUAUACUUCGUUGAGCUAUCAUAUGGCCAGGUCACUUCUGAAAAAGAGCUUGAUAGCUCUGUAGACUUUACUGGGUAAAAUAAAAAGUAGUUUUUUUUUAUAGGAUUCAUCAUGGCUGGUGGUGAUUAAUAACCUCAGCUUCUAAAUUGCGCAACAAGAUAUGUAGAUGUAGGAUACUGAAAAGAAUAUCAUAAGAAGUGGUUCUAUCAGAGGUGGAAACAUGUUGCUUUAAUUUAUUUACCUUCAAAACAAUUAAAACAAUCAAAAACUUUUAUCUGAAAAAGACGAAUAUUGUUUACAAAUACUGUUCUGAUUACGAUGUACAUGAUCUGAGUGUAUCCGUUCAGACUGUGAAUCUUUGCUCAAAAAUCCAGUCGAAACCUAGGGCCAUCAUCUGAAAUUCUCCGCAUUUAUUGGACGCGAUCUUCACCACAGUGGAGUUGUGAAGGAUCCAUUACAGAGUAAAAUGUAUGAUACUAACACAAUACAACGGUCAUUAGCUGACUGGACAUGUAACAAUCAACUGCUAAACUAAGUGGUUACACUUAUCUUAAGCACGCACUAGCCAUACUUCACCACUGUAGCUAGUGUACAGUACAGACGAAGCUGAAACAUCACUGCCCAUGCGUUAUAACGAAGGGCUUAUGAGAGAGGCAGACAAAUCUGGGCCCAUCACUCUGCCUCGUUAUGUUACCAGGGACCCCUCAACCUGAAAGGAAAAUUCAAACCUGCUUGACUGCAAACUAUUGUUAAUGACCGUGUCUGUAAUACCUGUGAUUUGGAAUCAACAGAACUCUGACUUUCAUGUUCGUUAAUUUACAAAUAUUUAAUUGAUUUUGUUUUUCGAUCCAGAAAUGAGGGAUCUUCAUGAAGCAAACUUGGAUCUUUCGCAAGAAAUGAGGGAUCUUUCUCAAGAUAAAAAGAAGUGGGCUCUUUCACAAGAGCAAGAACGCGAGUUACUAUAUGCUGGUAAGUUUUCCAUGUACGAUGUGGCUGAGAAGUUAAUAACAGAGAAUCUUAUUUUUUCCACAGAGCAGGGUUACUGACAUAACGAGCUUCGCUAUGCUCUGGGCAGUAAAUUCAGAAUUUUCAUUCUUCGUAUUUAAAAUACAGAGUAACGUGAACGUAUAUAUAUUACAAAUUGUGUUAUCAUUUGCUACAACAUUCAUAAUUUCGCUAAUCUUUUGAUUUGAUGCAUUUUUCUUCGAAGUAAUCACUGUGAUGCUUUAUUUUAAGCCCACAGUGUUCACUAAAAGUUAAUGUUGUUAUUAGAACAAGAUCGCCUCAAGAAUUAUAAAGGUAAGUGAUCUCUGCGCAUGAUGCCACUGACCACAUUCCAAAUUGUGUCUGUCACACAUUGAGAUAGGUCACCUAGUGUGACAUCUCCACGGCUACGGCCUCUACUUGCUGAUAAACAUGCUGUAUUUGUCUCAACCUUCACGUUGGUGACAAAGGUGCAGUAUUUCCUACAUCCGCAUGGUGUCACAGCAGAUACAACCCACUGCUUCUUUAUUCUUCGUCUCUGGAGACAUUCGGGCGUCGCUUUGCAAGAUCAAAUGUCAUCAAUUCCCGCUGCUCUCGUCCACCACCUGUAUUUUGUCAAUGUGAUCCAGAUCCUCAAUCAAUAACUUUGCAAAGUGUUGUGUUGUAUUAUUUGCCUACACAUUGUUUAGCCCAUAUCAAGCGCAUGUUUAUUUAUAUUGGCCUUGAGCUCAACUUUGCAGCCGUCUUUAAUAUGUUCUUCAUACAUUCAUUGUGAUUGAUUUACCGUGUUGUAAUGACUGCGUAAUGAUAAAACCUUUAAAUGUUAAUGUUUUUAAUAUAUUUUUUCGAUUUUAUUUCUCGAAAAAACAGUUUGGAAAUCAUGUUCUAUUAUUGCAGGAAAUUUCUUUGGAGAGUGUGGAACUCACGUCUUUUCUGCUCUAAAUUUUGUUACUUCAUAAAAUCUCAUUGUAGCUGUAGCAUACAUCCAUACGACAUCGUAUUUUUUUUCCUGGAACCUUUCUUCGUGCAAACGUUAAAUACUGCACCAAUAUCCACCAACUCAAGUAAUUUUGAUAUUAUACAAAGGCUAGGCAUAAUGAUAAUAUAUAUACAUUUGUAUUUUACAUUAUCUGAUUGAAAUUACUAUGUUGCCAAUGGUAGAUAAACCUCUCCUAAUGCUGGCUUGCUACUUGCGUGCUUGCUUUGCCUAUAAAUUAUCCGUCAUUUUUGGUAUUUUCUCCAAACCACUUAACCACUUCGUCUAUGUCACUUUAAAUGUUGGGAUUGAUUUUGUUUAUACAUGUGUCGAUUAUUACCUAAUUUGUGUAUUUAUAAAAACGUUACCAAUUUAAUAAUGUGCAUUUCUAAGCUCUUGUUGUCAAGGUUUUAAUUUUGAAAAAGGUGUGUACUGUUGAAUAUGUAUUGCUUUUAUAUUUCCUUACACAAUAACCUCAUUGUUUUCUUUUUUUUUGUGUGAUCUUCUCUGAUUGAACAAUUAACUUAAUAUAUUUUUUUUACCAGAUGAAGAACGGUUAAGACUACUCAAAUGUAUGUAUUCUGCGUGUGCAAUGUCUUGAAGGGGUUCUAGCUAUAAUUUUCAUUAUGUUCCUCGAAAGAGUUGUCUUUGCUAAAUGAUUUAUUUUGCUUCACUAUUUACAGCUUGAAGUUAGAAUAUUUCUAAUGGAAUUCGAGUUAAUAUGAAGCGAAAUAUUUGAGCUGAAUACAGCCCCAUUUGCAAAUGUGAUUUGUAACUUUGAUUAUUACCCAUGGACUGAUAGUUCAAUUUCAAUGUAUUACCUUGGGAAUUGAUGUACUUAUGCAAUUUGAACAUAUAUACCUAAUUAAUGUUCUACUUAUUUAAGGGGCGCCAUGGUGGUGAGACGUUAUCUUACUCAAUUGGUAUGCAGGAGGUCGGGGGUUUGAUCCUAUCCCUGACACCCGUAUAUUUUAAGUUUGCAUGUUCUCCCUGUUAUAAUGUGGGUUUUUUUCUCCGGGUCCUCGGGUUUUAUUUUGUUGAGCUAUAAUUUGUCAUCAGGUCGCCUCUGAAAAAUAAUCUAAUAGCUCAGUGGGCUUUACCCAUUAAAAUACAAAAAUAGCUUACUUUUAUUUCUAUAUUUUGUGAUUUGGUUACCUUUCUUAUACUUUGCACUACCAUAAUGUGUUUGUAUUGCUUGUUGUUUUAACGUUCUGACCCGCCCUACUGGACAUCUGUAAAAAAUGCUUUAUAUCUCUUAGUAUUCCUCCAGUAUGAAUAAAUAUUAUGAUUCUGAUAAAUGUAAAGGGCCAAAUUCAUGCGGCUGUUUGAUACCUGUCAACCCGUUAUUAGUGCCGACCUUAUUACAGACCAAUUCAGACCUUAUUCGUCACCCCGUGCCCUUAUAAAUCUCAACAUUCAUCCUACAAAGUUCCAUCACAUGGGAGAAACACAAACAAAGACAAAACAUGUUUUUGCCCAUAUUGAAACGGCUGUACGCCGUAUGAACCCGAACACUUAAUUUUCCUUAACGAGAAAACAGGUAAACCGUAUGAGUUGACAGGUAUGCUAUUUUAGCUAUCAUUCCAUCACCUUAGGUCUAGCCAACAAGAGUGAAAGGUGUACACAAGUAGAUUGUAUGGGUAAAUACCCAGCCCCUUUCUGCCACAUGGAAUUGCUUAAACCUAUAAUAGGGUAACGUUUAGGGAAUUUACCUUCCUCAGAGUGAACAGAGAGCAGAGAGACACACUUACAUUACAUUAUUAUUUGACUUUUGUGAUUUGAGUUUCAGUUUUAUGUAUUUUACACUUAUAUUAUUACUUAUAUAUUUCUAUUAUGAGGCCUCAAUUAUGAACGUCUUGAUAUAUUUAUAAAAAUACGCUUCAUAUUUAUUUUACCGAACAAGUUUCAGCUGUGCUCACUUAAUUGUCAACAUUAUAAAACUAAAGUAUUAUGAUGGACGUAAUACGCCAACAGCAUCACGCGUGCGGUAAUAACCAUGAGUCUAAGAUAGCUUAGUGGUAAUCUCAUAUCAUUAAUUAGUUAUUCAUUUAGUGGGCGCCGUUCAUAUUUAUACCACAUUUUUGUAACAGAAAAACAUUUCAGGUGAAUUGUGCAUUUGUAGAAAAUUUCUUGCCUGAUCCAAAAUCACAUUGUCAGCAGAUAAGUAUUUUUCGACAAAGAUUGGCAGUUGUGAUAGCCCAGGCAAACAUGUCUAACAUGCACAUGCUAGAGGAAGGCCAGUGAUUGGCCUAUGAUGGAUUCCUAUGCAAACUGAAUUGGUUUGUGAAAACCAUGUCCUUAGAGGCUAAAUUUGAUUCAGAUACUUGUUCCUUAUUCGUAUGACGUGGCAAUGCUGUGAUUAUUAUCUGAUUAAUUAUUAUUUGACCAAUCACGUGGUAUUGUUGACAAACUCUGCUUAAGCGUCUCAUUAAAACUCACGAAGCAGGUUUUUAUUAUUAAUGGACAACGAAAGAACUACGUGCAACUCAUGCAACAUGCAUCUGUUAUUUUUACACUUAUUAUUGAGUCUUCGUCUUUUAUUCUUACUAUGCAUAUAGUACAUAAUUUCAGUAAUAAAUGGUGAAAAUGUGUAUAUUUAACGUGUUGAUUUAUAUGAUUCACGUAAUUAUUUGUGAUAUUGUACUUGUAUAAU